GACGGAGGGUGCAAGCGUUGUUCGGAAUUACUGGGCGUAAAGGGCGCGUAGGCGGUCUGUUAAGUUCGGUGUGAAAGCCCUCGGCUUACCCGGGGAACUGCGCCGGAAACCGACAGACUCGAGUACCGGAGAGGAGGGUGGAAUUCCUGGUGUAGCGGUGAGAUGCGUAGAUAUCUGGAGGAACACCGGUGGCGAAGGCGGCAUCCUGGACCGACAUUGACGCUGAGGCGCGAAAGCGUGGGGAGCGAACCGG
RNAcentral lists this ribosomal RNA (253 nucleotides) under uncultured bacterium. RNAcentral's name for it is "partial 16S ribosomal RNA". It matches the Rfam family "Bacterial small subunit ribosomal RNA", at positions 524 to 776 of the family's 1533-position model. The record is from RNAcentral.